RNAcentral lists this ribosomal RNA (874 nucleotides) under Escherichia coli. RNAcentral describes it as "partial 23S ribosomal RNA". It matches the Rfam family "Bacterial large subunit ribosomal RNA", at positions 363 to 1239 of the family's 2925-position model. The record is from RNAcentral. Lineage: Bacteria; Pseudomonadati; Pseudomonadota; Gammaproteobacteria; Enterobacterales; Enterobacteriaceae.
GGUGACAGCCCCGUACACAAAAAUGCACAUGCUGUGAGCUCGAUGAGUAGGGCGGGACACGUGGUAUCCUGUCUGAAUAUGGGGGGACCAUCCUCCAAGGCUAAAUACUCCUGACUGACCGAUAGUGAACCAGUACCGUGAGGGAAAGGCGAAAAGAACCCCGGCGAGGGGAGUGAAAAAGAACCUGAAACCGUGUACGUACAAGCAGUGGGAGCACAGAGCAAUCUGUGUGACUGCGUACCUUUUGUAUAAUGGGUCAGCGACUUAUAUUCUGUAGCAAGGUUAACCGAAUAGGGGAGCCGAAGGGAAACCGAGUCUUAACUGGGCGUUAAGUUGCAGGGUAUAGACCCGAAACCCGGUGAUCUAGCCAUGGGCAGGUUGAAGGUUGGGUAACACUAACUGGAGGACCGAACCGACUAAUGUUGAAAAAUUAGCGGAUGACUUGUGGCUGGGGGUGAAAGGCCAAUCAAACCGGGAGAUAGCUGGUUCUCCCCGAAAGCUAUUUAGGUAGCGCCUCGUGAAUUCAUCUCCGGGGGUAGAGCACUGUUUCGGCAAGGGGGUCAUCCCGACUUACCAACCCGAUGCAAACUGCGAAUACCGGAGAAUGUUAUCACGGGAGACACACGGCGGGUGCUAACGUCCGUCGUGAAGAGGGAAACAACCCAGACCGCCAGCUAAGGUCCCAAAGUCAUGGUUAAGUGGGAAACGAUGUGGGAAGGCCCAGACAGCCAGGAUGUUGGCUUAGAAGCAGCCAUCAUUUAAAGAAAGCGUAAUAGCUCACUGGUCGAGUCGGCCUGCGCGGAAGAUGUAACGGGGCUAAACCAUGCACCGAAGCUGCGGCAGCGACACUGUGUGUUGUUGGGUAGGGGAGCGU